ACACUGAUGGUGAAGUGGUUAUCAUGCUUGCCUUCCAUCAAACAGGAUUCUGAGAUGUCCAGCAAGCGGCAGGGGUUCGAUUCCCCUUCAGUGUA
Non-coding RNA from Lyophyllum atratum, 95 nucleotides. The record is from the annotation of a GenBank genome assembly. NCBI's taxonomy places the organism in Eukaryota, Fungi, Basidiomycota, Agaricomycetes, Agaricales, Lyophyllaceae.